RNAcentral lists this ribosomal RNA (253 nucleotides) under uncultured bacterium. Its description in RNAcentral is "partial 16S ribosomal RNA". It matches the Rfam family "Bacterial small subunit ribosomal RNA", at positions 524 to 776 of the family's 1533-position model. The record is from RNAcentral.
UACAGAGGUCCCAAGCGUUGUUCGGAUUCACUGGGCGUAAAGGGUGCGUAGGUGGUGAGGUAAGUCGGAUGUGAAAGCCCGGAGCUCAACUCCGAAAUGGCAUUGGAAACUACCUUGCUCGAGGGUUGGAGGGGGGACUGGAAUACUUGGUGUAGCAGUGAAAUGCGUAGAUAUCAAGUGGAACACCAGUGGCGAAGGCGAGUCCCUGGACAACUCCUGACACUGAGGCACGAAAGCUAGGGGAGCAAACAGG